This 1520-nucleotide ribosomal RNA is filed under the name Klebsiella aerogenes. RNAcentral's name for it is "bacterial SSU rRNA". It matches the Rfam family "Bacterial small subunit ribosomal RNA". The record is from RNAcentral. Lineage: Bacteria; Pseudomonadati; Pseudomonadota; Gammaproteobacteria; Enterobacterales; Enterobacteriaceae.
AGAGUUUGAUCAUGGCUCAGAUUGAACGCUGGCGGCAGGCCUAACACAUGCAAGUCGAGCGGUAACACAGAGAGCUUGCUCUCGGGUGACGAGCGGCGGACGGGUGAGUAAUGUCUGGGAAACUGCCUGAUGGAGGGGGAUAACUACUGGAAACGGUAGCUAAUACCGCAUAACGUCGCAAGACCAAAGUGGGGGACCUUCGGGCCUCAUGCCAUCAGAUGUGCCCAGAUGGGAUUAGCUAGUAGGUGGGGUAAUGGCUCACCUAGGCGACGAUCCCUAGCUGGUCUGAGAGGAUGACCAGCCACACUGGAACUGAGACACGGUCCAGACUCCUACGGGAGGCAGCAGUGGGGAAUAUUGCACAAUGGGCGCAAGCCUGAUGCAGCCAUGCCGCGUGUAUGAAGAAGGCCUUCGGGUUGUAAAGUACUUUCAGCGAGGAGGAAGGCGUUAAGGUUAAUAACCUUGGCGAUUGACGUUACUCGCAGAAGAAGCACCGGCUAACUCCGUGCCAGCAGCCGCGGUAAUACGGAGGGUGCAAGCGUUAAUCGGAAUUACUGGGCGUAAAGCGCACGCAGGCGGUCUGUCAAGUCGGAUGUGAAAUCCCCGGGCUCAACCUGGGAACUGCAUUCGAAACUGGCAGGCUAGAGUCUUGUAGAGGGGGGUAGAAUUCCAGGUGUAGCGGUGAAAUGCGUAGAGAUCUGGAGGAAUACCGGUGGCGAAGGCGGCCCCCUGGACAAAGACUGACGCUCAGGUGCGAAAGCGUGGGGAGCAAACAGGAUUAGAUACCCUGGUAGUCCACGCCGUAAACGAUGUCGACUUGGAGGUUGUGCCCUUGAGGCGUGGCUUCCGGAGCUAACGCGUUAAGUCGACCGCCUGGGGAGUACGGCCGCAAGGUUAAAACUCAAAUGAAUUGACGGGGGCCCGCACAAGCGGUGGAGCAUGUGGUUUAAUUCGAUGCAACGCGAAGAACCUUACCUACUCUUGACAUCCAGAGAACUUAGCAGAGAUGCUUUGGUGCCUUCGGGAACUCUGAGACAGGUGCUGCAUGGCUGUCGUCAGCUCGUGUUGUGAAAUGUUGGGUUAAGUCCCGCAACGAGCGCAACCCUUAUCCUUUGUUGCCAGCGAUUCGGUCGGGAACUCAAAGGAGACUGCCAGUGAUAAACUGGAGGAAGGUGGGGAUGACGUCAAGUCAUCAUGGCCCUUACGAGUAGGGCUACACACGUGCUACAAUGGCAUAUACAAAGAGAAGCGACCUCGCGAGAGCAAGCGGACCUCAUAAAGUAUGUCGUAGUCCGGAUUGGAGUCUGCAACUCGACUCCAUGAAGUCGGAAUCGCUAGUAAUCGUAGAUCAGAAUGCUACGGUGAAUACGUUCCCGGGCCUUGUACACACCGCCCGUCACACCAUGGGAGUGGGUUGCAAAAGAAGUAGGUAGCUUAACCUUCGGGAGGGCGCUUACCACUUUGUGAUUCAUGACUGGGGUGAAGUCGUAACAAGGUAACCGUAGGGGAACCUGCGGUUG